Molecule: non-coding RNA, 218 nt
Organism: Phascolarctos cinereus (koala)
Lineage: Eukaryota; Metazoa; Chordata; Mammalia; Diprotodontia; Phascolarctidae
Source: RefSeq, a predicted model, not a curated record
GCAGUACCCAUCUCAAUCCAUUUGGAAUCCAUUGUUAACAAGGCACUCAAAAAUCCAAUGUCUCUCCCGAAGAUUUCUCUUGCUAAUCUUGGAGGAAGAGGCAGUCUUAUGAUCUCAUUCCAAGCCUAGAGAAGAAUGAGCCCUGGCCUGAAGUUAGGGAGACUGCUUGGCUCUGAACUGAAAACAUUAGCCACUCACAGACCUGCGUAAGAAUUGGG